RNAcentral lists this ribosomal RNA (465 nucleotides) under Vreelandella stevensii. RNAcentral describes it as "partial 16S ribosomal RNA". It matches the Rfam family "Bacterial small subunit ribosomal RNA", at positions 338 to 795 of the family's 1533-position model. The record is from RNAcentral. Lineage: Bacteria; Pseudomonadati; Pseudomonadota; Gammaproteobacteria; Oceanospirillales; Halomonadaceae.
CCUACGGGUGGCUGCAGUGGGGAAUAUUGGACAAUGGGCGAAAGCCUGAUCCAGUCAUGCCGCGUGUGUGAAGAAGGCCUUCGGGUUGUAAAGCACUUUCAGUGGGGAAGAAAGCCUUGGGGCUAAUACCCUCGAGGAAGGACAUCACCCACAGAAGAAGCACCGGCUAACUCCGUGCCAGCAGCCGCGGUAAUACGGAGGGUGCGAGCGUUAAUCGGAAUUACUGGGCGUAAAGCGCGCGUAGGCGGUCUGAUAAGCCGGUUGUGAAAGCCCCGGGCUCAACCUGGGAACGGCAUCCGGAACUGUCAGGCUAGAGUGCAGGAGAGGAAGGUAGAAUUCCCGGUGUAGCGGUGAAAUGCGUAGAGAUCGGGAGGAAUACCAGUGGCGAAGGCGGCCUUCUGGACUGACACUGACGCUGAGGUGCGAAAGCGUGGGUAGCAAACAGGAUUAGAUACCCCAGUAGUC